UACGUAGGGGGCAAGCGUUAUCCGGAUUUACUGGUGUAAAGGGAGCGUAGACGGCGAUGCAAGUCUGAAGUGAAAGCCCGGGGCUCAACCCCGGGACUGCUUUGGAAACUGUAUGGCUGGAGUGCUGGAGAGGCAAGCGGAAUUCCUAGUGUAGCGGUGAAAUGCGUAGAUAUUAGGAAGAACACCAGUGGCGAAGGCGGCUUGCUGGACAGUAACUGACGUUGAGGCUCGAAAGCGUGGGGAGCAAACAGG
Molecule: ribosomal RNA, 252 nt
Filed under: uncultured bacterium
Lineage: Bacteria
Description: partial 16S ribosomal RNA
Rfam family: Bacterial small subunit ribosomal RNA
Source: RNAcentral